UGAGCAAUCAUGGCAGGUGAUUUCGGGAAGAGAGAACAGAGGACUCCGGGAGAAGCCGGGAAGGGUCAGGCCCCUGCCUGGAAGGGGCGUUCACCUGGGAAACACCGUCUUGCAGGGGACCAAAGCCAUCCUUUGCCAGAAAUCUCCGCUCUGAUGAUCUGCAGAUGUGUGAACCCCGCGCCCAGUGGAAGUGGAGACGAUAAACUCACUGAGGGAAUGAGCCUGCGAUGCACAGUGAGGCUGCAGCUCCUCCGGGGACCUGGCAUGCCCGUGCCCUCUGCAGACGGCGGCACGGCCUUGGUCCUCUCUGCCCGCAGCUGAGCAUCUCUCUAGUCCACCCGCGGGCGCCGUUCCAGGCGGCGCUGGGCCCGGAAACUCCGAAGACUCGCUCAGGCUGCAGGCUGGCGUCCUGGGUUCUGCCUCGGCAUCCAGGGCCGCGCGGGUGUUUCUGCGUUUGCCUGUGACCGCGUGUCCUCAGGAGGGCUGCGAGAGGCCCCUCCGCAGGUGUGGGGUCCUUCUCAGAGUCCACUCCGGAGCUGACCCCCUUGUCUGGGCCGACCAUCACCUGGGCUUCCUUCUCCCACGCUGGCUUCUCAUUCGUGACCAUCUGUAAUAAGACGAUCCGUUUUCAUGUUUUAGUUCUGUUUCCCAGCCAUGUGCUCGGUGAUCUUCGUGGCAGUUCCUCCCGUCUGAUUCUCGUGGGUUUCCCGGGAGCCUGGGGGUAAUUCAGCUCCUUCUUCCUGUUUUAACCCUCUGAUCUGCCCCCCACCCCCAACAGAUAGUUCAAAAGGGUAAUGGCUCCAGUGGGGGUGGCACAGCCCCCCGACCACCACCGGGCUCCUGGGGGGGAGUGGUCCCUGAGGACGAGUCGCCUGCCCCUCAUCCCCUGGAUAGCGCCUGUCUACAGCAGCAACAGCCACAGAGAGGGGGGCGUGAUUCUUCUCCUUACGCC
This is a long non-coding RNA of Bos taurus (domestic cattle), 952 nucleotides long. NCBI's taxonomy places the organism in Eukaryota, Metazoa, Chordata, Mammalia, Artiodactyla, Bovidae. The record is from Ensembl.